Molecule: transfer RNA, 72 nt
Filed under: Chelonia mydas (Green sea turtle)
Lineage: Eukaryota; Metazoa; Chordata; Testudines; Cheloniidae
Rfam family: tRNA
About the family: Transfer RNA (tRNA) molecules are approximately 80 nucleotides in length.
Source: Rfam by way of RNAcentral
GGCAGUGUGGUUUAGUGGAGAGAGCGCUGGACUGGGACCCAGGAGACCUGGGUUCUAUUCCCAGCUCUGCCA